AUUUUACUAAAUGCUGGCAUGUACAGACAGAGAGAAUUAGCCCAGACCCACUAUAUGGAAGAUACAUGUAUUUCAAACAUUACCUAUCCACAAAGACUAGAUUAGCUCAUUGAAAGCUGCAUUUUGAAUCAAUAAGGCCCUGUUUUAUCCAGUCACACAUUUGUAUUAUUAAAAAUUUCCAUUUUCUUUCAUAAAUGUUCUUUAGGAUCUCAGAGAAAUAAUCCAUCCAUGCAUCUAUCUUUCAUAACCUCUAUGUAACGCCAACUGAUUUAUGUGGGGGAGUGAACUGAGUGCUGGGCCCAGAAUCAGGAACAACUGAGUUCUAAUGGAGUCUCUUGUUAUAGUAAGAGGGUUAUAGAAUGAGACGUUGGUCUACAGGGGCAGAUGCAGAGGACGGAGGCAUGAGACUGACAGGGAAAGAAUUCUAGAAUGUUGAAAAGCGGGUUGAGCUGAAAAACCGAGAAGCAGUUAGUCUCUCUGGGGUUUGCUGAUGGUAAGCAUCUGGAGGCUUUGCUGCCAAGCUCCCUGGUGGAUUACCUGUACUUGUCCAUUGCUGUCAAGACCUGUGGUUCCUGAGAAGAAGAUCCUUGAACUGAUGCUGGCCUGACUCAACAUCCAGUCAAGUGCAGCUGUUACUGAGUGUAACAGGAGAUUGUUGUCUGAGAGAGGAAAUGAAGGAAAAUGUAUUUAGUAAGGAAAAUGAUACUAAAAUAAAAGGAUUGCAACUAAAGGUUUAAAGACAUCAUAUUAUUAAUUCAUAGAAAUCAUUUUGAUGAUUUUUAAUCCUUAUAAUGAACUAGAAAUUUUCUGGAAAGUCCAUGUGCUUGCAAAUGUUCAGCUGAUUGAUAUAAAUGAAUGGAGAGGAAGAAGUAGAUUCUCGAGUCCUGCUCCAUCACCUUUCCCCAAUUUCCAGUUAUGGAAUCAGAAGAGAGGUAUUUUGGUAGACUGGGAUGUACCCCGAAUUUGGAAGGAGAUUCGUAUUUGAGGAUGGGAGAAGUUUCUCUUCCAUGUUACUGUCUUCUCAACUCUCCUUCUCUGCAGAUAUACAAAGACAUAUAUAUGAAUAUAUGUGUAAAUGCAAUGUCUAUGUGUAUAUAUGGUAUGUAUAUGUAUCGAGUUUACAGCAUGGAGAAUACAAGUAUUGUGCACAGUACAUGUGAAUAUGUUUAGGUAGAUUACAGAGGCAAAAUCAUAGACAAUGUGAAUAAGAUGUCAGUGUCCAGAAGGCAACACCCAGAUUUAUUAUACACUUAUUAUGCACCAAGUAAAUAUAAGCAGAAAGAAGACACUCCCUGCCCUCCAGGAGCUUAUACUCUAAUGGGGAGAAGCACCUAAGAGGGAGUUGAAAAGGUAUUGAGAGGGAGAUGGAAAUAAUCAGUUCAAGGCUAGUGUACAGAAAGUGCUGGAAAAUAUAAGUACUUCCUAGAGACAAAUGAAGGAGCCUUUCUCUUCCAGCAACAUCCCCUUUCCAAAUUGAGGGUUCGGUUCUUUCCAUGACCUCUCAUUGCCUUUAACUACUUUUAACAAUAAUAAUGAGAAUGAGAACUUAUUUCUGCCUUUGCAUUCUUCAUUUUCGUGACCCACCUCUGUCCUAGAAUGUCUGAUCUCUAGCAUUGAGUAAGCUCCAUCAUCUGCCUUCUCCAUACCUUACCCUUCAUUUUCUCAACACUGCAUGAGCCAGGCACUGAGUCUGACUGAUUGGAUUGGAUGGAAAACUUAUUACUGAAUCACAGCCACUACAGUAGGACCUCAUUUUAUAUGAACAAUAUAUUCCAGGACCCUUUGCUUAAGUUGAAAAUCUUACAUAAUAGCAAACCCCAUUUUUAGAAAGUAGUUUUAUACAAACAUACCUAGGCACAUUAUGACUUUUCUUAGGCAUAUCACAGCCACCAGGAUCACUACUCUUAUACAUUGGGGACAUCCUUAAUAAUUAAAUAAUAUUAAUGAAAUAAAGGAAAGCAAUGUUCUGACA
Long non-coding RNA from Monodelphis domestica (gray short-tailed opossum), 1972 nucleotides. The record is from Ensembl. Lineage: Eukaryota; Metazoa; Chordata; Mammalia; Didelphimorphia; Didelphidae.